UACAGGGGGUGCAAACGUUGCUCGGAAUUAUUGGGCGUAAAGCGCGCGUAGGCGGUCUCUUAAGUCGGAUGUGAAAGCCCUUGGCUCAACUGAGGAAGUGCAUCCGAAACUGAGAGGCUUGAGUACGAAAGAGGGUCGCGGAAUUCCCGGUGUAGAGGUGAAAUUCGUAGAUAUCGGGAGGAACACCGGUGGCGAAGGCGGCGACCUGGGUCGAUACUGACGCUGAGGCGCGAAAGCGUGGGGAGCAAACAGG
RNAcentral lists this ribosomal RNA (253 nucleotides) under uncultured bacterium. RNAcentral's name for it is "partial 16S ribosomal RNA". It matches the Rfam family "Bacterial small subunit ribosomal RNA", at positions 524 to 776 of the family's 1533-position model. The record is from RNAcentral.